Molecule: ribosomal RNA, 547 nt
Filed under: Candida tropicalis
Lineage: Eukaryota; Fungi; Ascomycota; Pichiomycetes; Serinales; Debaryomycetaceae
Description: partial 26S ribosomal RNA
Rfam family: Eukaryotic large subunit ribosomal RNA
Source: RNAcentral
AAAGAAACCAACAGGGAUUGCCUUAGUAGCGGCGAGUGAAGCGGCAAAAGCUCAAAUUUGAAAUCUGGCUCUUUCAGAGUCCGAGUUGUAAUUUGAAGAAGGUAUCUUUGGGUCUGGCUCUUGUCUAUGUUUCUUGGAACAGAACGUCACAGAGGGUGAGAAUCCCGUGCGAUGAGAUGAUCCAGGCCUAUGUAAAGUUCCUUCGAAGAGUCGAGUUGUUUGGGAAUGCCAGCUCUAAGUGGGUGGUAAAUUCCAUCUAAAGCUAAAUAUUGGCGAGAGACCGAUAGCGAACAAGUACAGUGAUGGAAAGAUGAAAAGAACUUUGAAAAGAGAGUGAAAAAGUACGUGAAAUUGUUGAAAGGGAAGGGCUUGAGAUCAGACUUGGUAUUUUGUAUGUUACUUCUUCGGGGGUGGCCUCUACAGUUUAUCGGGCCAGCAUCAGUUUGGGCGGUAGGAGAAUUGCGUUGGAAUGUGGCACGGCUUCGGUUGUGUGUUAUAGCCUUUGUCGAUACUGCCAGCCUAGACUGAGGACUGCGGUUAACCUAGG